AGAAGGAAGAGGGAGAGAGGGACAGAGUUGUUGUCCAUCGAGUUAAGGUGCGGUGGCGGUAGCUGGCAGAAGAGCCGACCCGGCGGUAGCAGCUCCAACAGGCCACGGCGGCAGCGUACCGAAGGAAAAAAAAGGAAGAGAGGAGGCGUAGGCUAUCAAAGCCGUGUGAGGCGUUUCCGGCGGUUUUGGCGGCCAAGUCUGGU
This 203-nucleotide long non-coding RNA is filed under the name Ricinus communis (castor bean). RNAcentral's name for it is "long non-coding RNA (RCOM_LNC001972)". The record is from RNAcentral. Lineage: Eukaryota; Viridiplantae; Streptophyta; Magnoliopsida; Malpighiales; Euphorbiaceae.